This 68-nucleotide transfer RNA is filed under the name Yoda sp. d ASH-2021. Its description in RNAcentral is "tRNA-Asn". It matches the Rfam family "tRNA". Rfam says of the family: Transfer RNA (tRNA) molecules are approximately 80 nucleotides in length. Their secondary structure includes four short double-helical elements and three loops (D, anti-codon, and T loops). Further hydrogen bonds mediate the characteristic L-shaped molecular structure. tRNAs have two regions of fundamental functional importance: the anti-codon, which is responsible for specific mRNA codon recognition, and the 3' end, to which the tRNAs corresponding amino acid is attached (by aminoacyl-tRNA synthetases). tRNAs cope with the degeneracy of the genetic code in two manners: having more than one tRNA (with a specific anti-codon) for a particular amino acid; and 'wobble' base-pairing, i.e. permitting non-standard base-pairing at the 3rd anti-codon position. The record is from RNAcentral. Lineage: Eukaryota; Metazoa; Hemichordata; Enteropneusta; Torquaratoridae.
UAAAUAAGAGCUUGACGGUCAAGCUUUUGGUUGUUAACCAGAAAGAUGCGGGAUCAAAACCCGCUUGU